GGAUUCCCCUAGUAACUGCGAGUGAAGCGGGAAAAGCUCAAAUUUAAAAUCUGGCAGUCUUUGAUUGUCCGAGUUGUAAUCUAGAGAAGUGUUAUCCGCGUUGGACCGUGUACAAGUCUCCUGGAAUGGAGCGUCAUAGAGGGUGAGAAUCCCGUCUUUGACACGGACUACCAAGGCUUUUGUGAUGCGCUCUCAAAGAGUCGAGUUGUUUGGGAAUGCAGCUCAAAAUGGGUGGUAAAUUCCAUCUAAAGCUAAAUAUUGGCGAGAGACCGAUAGCGAACAAGUACCGUGAGGGAAAGAUGAAAAGAACUUUGGAAAGAGAGUUAAACAGUACGUGAAAUUGCUGAAAGGGAAACGCUUGAAGUCAGUCGCGUUGUUCAGAACUCAACCUUACUUUUGUGGGGUGUACUUUCUGUUUAACGGGUCAGUAUCAAUUUUGACUGUUGGAUAAAGUUCAUCGGAAUGUAGCUUCUUCGGAAGUGUUAUAGCCUUUGGUCGCAUACAACAGUUGGGAUUGAGGUACUCAGCACGCUGCAAAGCCGGGUUUCGACCACGUUCGUGCUUAGGAUACUGGCAUAAUGGCUUUAAUCGACCCGUCUUGAAACACGGACCAAGGAGUCUAACAUGCCUGCGAGUGUUUGGGUGGAAAACCCGAGCGCAUAAUGAAAGUGAAAGUUGAGAUCCCUGUCGUGGGGAGCAUCGACGCCCGGACCAGACCUUCUGUGACGGAUCCGCGGUAGAGCAUGUAUGUUGGGACCCGAAAGAUGGUGAACUAUGCCUGAAUAGGGUGAAGCCAGAGGAAACUCUGGUGGAGGCUCGUAGCGAUUCUGACGUGCAAAUCGAUCGUCAAAUUUGGGUAUAGGGGCGAAAGACUAAUCGAACCAUCUAGUAGCUGGUUCCUGCCGAAGUUUCCCUCAGGAUAGCAGAAACUCAUUUCAGAUUUAUGUGGUAAAGCGAAUGAUUAGAGGCCUUGGGGUUGAAACAACCUUAACCUAUUCUCAAACUUUAAAUAUGUAAGAACAAGCCGUCUCUUGAUUGGACCGC
This 1044-nucleotide ribosomal RNA is filed under the name Tubaria bispora. Its description in RNAcentral is "eukaryotic LSU rRNA". It matches the Rfam family "Eukaryotic large subunit ribosomal RNA", at positions 72 to 1103 of the family's 3401-position model. Lineage: Eukaryota; Fungi; Basidiomycota; Agaricomycetes; Agaricales; Tubariaceae. The record is from RNAcentral.